AGACGAUGAACUUCAUUGAAUUUAAGGUUUUUAUGCCAGGACACUCCAGUGGUGACAUCCUGUGGAGCCAUAGAUUAAAGUAAGUACCUCACAGAAACAUCAGUAGACACCAGCAUUUGGUUAAGAAACGCGACUCGUGCACCAG
This 145-nucleotide long non-coding RNA is filed under the name Oreochromis niloticus (Nile tilapia). Its description in RNAcentral is "lncRNA (ENSONIG00000029321.1)". Lineage: Eukaryota; Metazoa; Chordata; Actinopteri; Cichliformes; Cichlidae. The record is from RNAcentral.